RNAcentral lists this ribosomal RNA (659 nucleotides) under uncultured Planctomycetota bacterium. RNAcentral describes it as "bacterial SSU rRNA". It matches the Rfam family "Bacterial small subunit ribosomal RNA", at positions 8 to 667 of the family's 1533-position model. The record is from RNAcentral. Lineage: Bacteria; Pseudomonadati; Planctomycetota.
AGAGUUUGAUCCUGGCUCAGAAUGAACGUUGGCGGCGUGGAUUAGGCAUGCAAGUCGAGCGAGAACCCCGCAAGGGGGGACAGCGGCAAACGGGGUAGUAACGGGUAGGUGACGUACCCUCGGGUUGGGGAUAGCCACGGGAAACUGUGGGUAAUACCCAAUAAUCUCUCGGAGCGUGAUGUUUCGGGAGCAAAGGUGUGAUUCCACCUGAGGAGCGGCCUGCUUCGUAUUAGCUAGUUGGUGAGGUAACGGCUCACCAAGGCGACGAUGCGUAGGGGGUGUGAGAGCAUGACCCCCACCACUGGGACUGAGAUACUGCCCAGACACCUACGGGUGGCUGCAGUCGAGAAUCUUCGGCAAUGGGCGCAAGCCUGACCGAGCGACGCCGCGUGUGGGAUGAAGGCCCUUGGGUUGUAAACCACUGUCAGAGGGGAUGAAGUGCCAGAGAGUUAUCUCUUUGGUUUGACAUAGCCUCAGAGGAAGCACGGGCUAAGUUCGUGCCAGCAGCCGCGGUAAUACGAACUGUGCAAACGUUAUUCGGAAUCACUGGGCUUACAGGGUGCGUAGGCGGCUUGACAAGUAGGGUGNGAAAGCCCCCGGCUUAACCGGGGAAUGGCGCCCUAAACUGUCGAGCUGGAGUGAGAUAGGGGUGGCGGAAC